UACGGAGGGUGCUAGCGUUGUUCGGAAUCACUGGGCGUAAAGCGCACGUAGGCGGCUACUCAAGUCAGAGGUGAAAGCCCGGGGCUCAACCCCGGAACUGCCUUUGAAACUAGGUGGCUAGAAUCUUGGAGAGGCGAGUGGAAUUCCGAGUGUAGAGGUGAAAUUCGUAGAUAUUCGGAAGAACACCAGUGGCGAAGGCGACUCGCUGGACAAGUAUUGACGCUGAGGUGCGAAAGCGUGGGGAGCAAACAGG
Molecule: ribosomal RNA, 253 nt
Filed under: uncultured bacterium
Lineage: Bacteria
Description: partial 16S ribosomal RNA
Rfam family: Bacterial small subunit ribosomal RNA
Source: RNAcentral